Molecule: RNA transcript, 2370 nt
Organism: Cynara cardunculus var. scolymus (artichoke)
Lineage: Eukaryota; Viridiplantae; Streptophyta; Magnoliopsida; Asterales; Asteraceae
Gene name: integrator complex subunit 3
Exons: 4
Source: RefSeq, a predicted model, not a curated record
CGGUCGGCGGACUAAAAAAGUUACAACUGGGGCGUUCAACAGGGAAUUCACAAUUCACAACUGUUCGAUUGUGUUCUUCACCGGCUCACCUCCUCGAUUUUGGAUUUCUGCAACUUUAAUGGCAUCUAGAUUGAUUCACAAAGCAACCUAUGAAGCUGAUAACUCGUUUGAUGUGUCACUAAGAGAGUCUUUUCAACUUCUGGAACCCCAACUGAGGCCUCCAUUUUCGUUAACGAUUCCUACGCAAACUGAAUACUUAAAUCUCAACCGAGCUAUUCUAUAUGGUAUCUUAAGUGAAACCCAUUUGGCAAAAGUUCAUAUUAAGCACUUACAUGGCAUCGUAAUUGAUGGGUACAGUUUCUUUACAACUUUACUAACUAGGAUGGUUAAUGAGUUAUACACGAAGCUUGUUGAGAAUGUGAAAGUUCAGUUAAUCUGGGUCACUUCAGAAAUGAUCUAUGUAUCGGCUGUUGGAGUAGAUGGUUUGUUGGUGGCUUUAUUGAGGCAAACUCGUGGUGGAGAUUUUAGUGAAGCGAAUUUGUGGUUGUGUUCGGAGUUGGUUGGUUUGAUCUCGGCGAAAUGGGACUGCUUGCUGGAUGAACAACCGUUGAUCUUAUCAAGCGCCCUGUAUGUCUUUCUCAGGCUCUUGGCUGAUCAUUGUAGAGUGUCUCUGAACUCGAAAAUAGAAAUCUUGAAGCAAAAAGAAAUCGAAUUUUGUAUUCGGGUUUUCAGGGAGCAAUUCCAUUUGUGUUUGAAAAUUGGAAGGGAUUUGAUUAGGCUUCUACAAGACUUAGUUCAUGUGCCUGAAUUUCAAGAUAUCUGGAAAGACCUCUUAUUGCUGCCUGCUAAUUUCAAAACAUCUGGUUUUUCAGAUAUUUCUCAGCUGUACCGAUCAAGAACUUCUAGCCGCUACUUUUUACUUCGUAUCACUCCUGAGAUGGAAGCUCAUUUGCGGUUCUUGCUUACGCAUGUCAAACUAGGAAGUCAAACCCGAUACCAAAUUUGGUUUGCCAGGAAAUUUUUUAAUGUGCCCGACAGCGAAACUGUUAUUAUUGAUAUUGUUCGCUUUAUCUGCUGUGCACACCACCCUUCUAAUAAAAUAAUCUUAUCGAGUGUGAUUCCUAGAUGGGCUGUAAUCGGUUGGUUACUGAAAUGCUGUACCAAGAGUCAUGUGGAAGCUAACGUGAAGCUGGCCCUGUUCUACGACUGGCUCUUCUUUCAUGAAGAAGUUGAUAAUAUAAUGAACAUCGAGCCUGCCAUUUUAUUGAUGAUAAACUCCAUACCCAAAUACGUCGAUAUGACACAAAAUCUUUUGGAGUUUUUAUUCCUUCUGAUGGAUCAUUACGAUGUUGACAAGAAAGAGUUAAUUGUCGGAUGCAUAUCGUCGGUUCUUGAUGUUCUUGAAAGAAGAGGCGUGGUUCAGUCGUUUGAUGCUUUGAUUAGUUGUGAUAUGGUUUCACCUUUCCUUAAGGAGAGAUUCUUGAAGAUGUUGGCAAGCAGGAAUGCGAGUGCUUUCAAUAACUCACAGCCCGCGUUUCUUUCAUGUCAAAGAUUGCAGUCAUUAGAAGUUGAAAGCGUUAUUGUUGUCGAUGACCAACAAGGGAUCUCAGAAUCUGAUAGAACGAUCUCCAACCGUUUCCCGAUAAUUUCUUCAAAAUAGAGAAGUAAAAGUUGCAAAAAACUAUAGUUUCUCUUCGGUGAUUGCGAAUUGGGCGAGUAUUGACCCGGGAAUGUUGCUAAAGAAAGCAGACAAUCCAUCUAAGAAGCUCUUGAUGUGGUGUAGGCUUCAUGGUUCCAACCAUAACUAGUCGAGUUCAGAGAAUCAGAGGUGCGCUCGAUCAAAUGUCUUGACUACUGUUUACUAGUACAGCAUCGGAGGUAUCCCUUCUGGUACAUGUACCGAAUAUCAUUCAUAAUCGAUGAUUACCGACCGUCCAUCCGAUGCAUCCUCUAAGGCGCUAAGGAACCUAUUAGUGUGAAGGGGCCUUCGAACUUUGAAAUUCCUAUCACUCAUCUAGAACUGAUUCUGCAGAAUAGUUAUCGGCAUCAAGAAUGCGUUUGGUACACGGGACUGGACUCGACAUGACAAGAUCCACCGUCUUAUAUUUGGCACGACAUGGAACAGGAACAAGGACUGGAACAGGGUGGGACGAAAAAAGGUUUUUUUUUUUGUUCUACCAAAAUAGGUCGAAGAGAAAUCACAUGAUGAGACAGACAAACUUGAAAGUUAUUAAUCUACCCUCAUUUGAUAUAACCCUAAUAUGAUAUUUGUUUUAAUGGUCAACACCUUGCAUCACGGAAAUCAGCUGACAAAAAACUGGUUUCCUUGAAUGCAGUUCUCGGGUUUUUAAAAAGGGGAAAUCUUUUAUA